RNAcentral lists this ribosomal RNA (443 nucleotides) under uncultured bacterium. Its description in RNAcentral is "bacterial SSU rRNA". It matches the Rfam family "Bacterial small subunit ribosomal RNA", at positions 338 to 795 of the family's 1533-position model. The record is from RNAcentral.
CCUACGGGAGGCUGCAGUCGAGAAUCUUCCGCAAUGGGCGAAAGCCUGACGGAGCGAUGCCGCGUGAGGGAUGAAGGCCUUCGGGUUGUAAACCUCUGUCAGAGGGGACGAAGAAUGUGACGGUACCCUCAGAGGAAGCCACGGCUAACUACGUGCCAGCAGCCGCGGUAAUACGUAGGUGGCGAGCGUUAUUCGGAUUCACUGGGCGUAAAGGGUCCGUAGGGGGUCUGCCAAGUCUGAUGUGAAAUCCCGCGGCUCAACUGCGGAACGGCAUUGGAUACUGGCGGGCUGGAGUCUGCGAGGGGUGAGCGGAAUUCCUGGUGUAGCGGUGGAAUGCGUAGAUAUCAGGAAGAACACCGAUGGCGAAGGCGGCUCACUGGCGCAGUACUGACCCUGAGGGACGAAAGCGUGGGGAGCAAACAGGAUUAGAUACCCCUGUAGUC